UACGUAGGGUGCGAGCGUUAAUCGGAAUUACUGGGCGUAAAGCGUGCGCAGGCGGUUUUGUAAGACAGAUGUGAAAUCCCCGGGCUUAACCUGGGAACUGCGUUUGUGACUGCAUAACUAGAGUACGGCAGAGGGAGGUGGAAUUCCACGUGUAGCAGUGAAAUGCGUAGAGAUGUGGAGGAACACCGAUGGCGAAGGCAGCCUCCUGGGCCAGUACUGACGCUCAUGCACGAAAGCGUGGGGAGCAAACAGG
RNAcentral lists this ribosomal RNA (253 nucleotides) under uncultured bacterium. RNAcentral describes it as "partial 16S ribosomal RNA". It matches the Rfam family "Bacterial small subunit ribosomal RNA", at positions 524 to 776 of the family's 1533-position model. The record is from RNAcentral.